GACGAACGCUGGCGGCGUGCUUAACACAUGCAAGUCGAACGGAAAGGCCCUGCUUUUGUGGGGUGCUCGAGUGGCGAACGGGUGAGUAACACGUGAGUAACCUGCCCUUGACUUUGGGAUAACUUCAGGAAACUGGGGCUAAUACCGGAUAGGAGCUCCUGCUGCAUGGUGGGGGUUGGAAAGUUUCGGCGGUUGGGGAUGGACUCGCGGCUUAUCAGCUUGUUGGUGAGGUAGUGGCUUACCAAGGCUUUGACGGGUAGCCGGCCUGUGAGGGGGACCGGCCACAUUGGGCCUGAGGUACGGCCCAGACUCCUACGGGAGGCAGCAGUGGGGAAUAUUGCACAGUGGGCGGAAGCCUGAUGCAGCAACGCCGCGUGCGGGAUGACGGCCUUCGGGUUGUAAACCGCUUUCGCCUGUGACGAAGCGUGAGUGACGGUAAUGGGUAAAGAAGCACCGGCUAACUACGUG
Molecule: ribosomal RNA, 468 nt
Filed under: uncultured bacterium
Lineage: Bacteria
Description: partial 16S ribosomal RNA
Rfam family: Bacterial small subunit ribosomal RNA
Source: RNAcentral